This 101-nucleotide ribosomal RNA is filed under the name uncultured archaeon. Its description in RNAcentral is "partial 16S ribosomal RNA". The record is from RNAcentral.
CUCCCCCGUUGCUGACCCUAGGUUCGAUAGCGCCAAUUAGGCGCCACCUCGCCAAGAACCAACUUCGGUGAAGCGACGGGCGGUGUGUGCAAGGAGCAGGG